GACGUAGGGCGCGAGCGUUGUCCGGAUUUAUUGGGCGUAAAGAGCUCGUAGGCGGCUUGUCACGUCGGGUGUGAAAGCCCGGGGCUUAACCCCGGGUCUGCAUUCGAUACGGGCUAGCUAGAGUGUGGUAGGGGAGAUCGGAAUUCCUGGUGUAGCGGUGAAAUGCGCAGAUAUCAGGAGGAACACCGGUGGCGAAGGCGGAUCUCUGGGCCAUUACUGACGCUGAGGAGCGAAAGCAUGGGGAGCGAACAGG
RNAcentral lists this ribosomal RNA (253 nucleotides) under uncultured bacterium. RNAcentral describes it as "partial 16S ribosomal RNA". It matches the Rfam family "Bacterial small subunit ribosomal RNA", at positions 524 to 776 of the family's 1533-position model. The record is from RNAcentral.